RNAcentral lists this ribosomal RNA (497 nucleotides) under uncultured bacterium. RNAcentral describes it as "partial 16S ribosomal RNA". It matches the Rfam family "Bacterial small subunit ribosomal RNA", at positions 28 to 507 of the family's 1533-position model. The record is from RNAcentral.
GACGAACGCUGGCGGCGUGCCUAAUACAUGCAAGUUGAGCGCUGAAGGUUGGUACUUGUACCAACUGGAUGAGCAGCGAACGGGUGAGUAACGCGUGGGGAAUCUGCCUUUGAGCGGGGGACAACAUUUGGAAACGAAUGCUAAUACCGCAUAAAAACUUUAAACACAAGUUUUAAGUUUGAAAGAUGCCAUUGCAUCACUCAAAGAUGAUCCCGCGUUGUAUUAGCUAGUUGGUGAGGUAAAGGCUCACCAAGGCGAUGAUACAUAGCCGACCUGAGAGGGUGAGCGGCCACAUUGGGACUGAGACACGGCCCAAACUCCUACGGGAGGCAGCAGGAGGGAAUCUUCGGCAAGGGACGAAAGGCUGACCGAGCAACGCCGCGUGAGUGAAGAAGGGUUUCGGAUCGUAAAACUCGGUUGGUAGAGAAGAACGUUGGUGAGAGUGGAAAGCUCAUCAAGUGACGGUAACUACCCAGAAAGGGACGGCUAACUACGUG